Molecule: ribosomal RNA, 397 nt
Filed under: uncultured bacterium
Lineage: Bacteria
Description: partial 16S ribosomal RNA
Rfam family: Bacterial small subunit ribosomal RNA
Source: RNAcentral
AUACGUAGGGGGCGAGCGUUGUCCGGAAUGAUUGGGCGUAAAGGGCGCGUAGGCGGCGCGGUAAGUCUGGAGUGAAAGUCCUGCUUUCAAGGUGGGAAUUGCUUUGGAUACUGCCGCGCUUGAGUGCAGGAGAGGUUAUCGGAAUUCCCGGUGUAGCGGUGAAAUGCGUAGAGAUCGGGAGGAACACCAGUGGCGAAGGCGAGUAACUGGACUGCAACUGACUCUGAGGCGCGAAAGUGUGGGGAGCAAACAGGAUUAGAUACCCUGGUAGUCCACACUGUAAACGAUGAAUGCUAGGUGUAGGGGGUAUCGACCCCUUCUGUGCCGCAGUCAACACAAUAAGCAUUCCGCCUGGGGAGUACGGCCGCAAGGUUGAAACUCAAAUGAAUUGACGGGG